GCGAUGAUGGUGUAUAGCGGUAGCAUGUCCAAUUAACAACACUGCUACACGGAUGGCCCUGGUUUGAAUCCAGCUCAUCGCC
Non-coding RNA from Mycena floridula, 82 nucleotides. NCBI's taxonomy places the organism in Eukaryota, Fungi, Basidiomycota, Agaricomycetes, Agaricales, Mycenaceae. The record is from the annotation of a GenBank genome assembly.